CGCUGGCGGCGUGCUUAACACAUGCAAGUCGAACGGGGAUAGUGACGGAAAGCUUCGGCCGGAAGACAUUAUUCGAGUGGCGGACGGGUGAGUAACGCGUGAGCAAUCUGUCCCGGACAGGGGGAUAACACUUGGAAACAGGUGCUAAUACCGCAUAAGACCACGGUGUCGCAUGGCACAGGGGUAAAAGGAGCGAUCCGGUUUGGGGUGAGCUCGCGUCCGAUUAGCCAGUUGGCGGGGUAACGGCCCACCAAAGCGACGAUCGGUAGCCGACCUGAGAGGGUGAUCGGCCACAUUGGAACUGAGAGACGGUCCAAACUCCUACGGGAGGCAGCAGUGGGGAAUAUUGGGCAAUGGGCGAAAGCCUGAACCCCCAGCAACGCCGCGUGAGUGAAGAAGGCCUUCGGGCUGUAAAGCUCUGUUACAGGUGACGAAGGAAGUGACGGUAACUUGUAAGGAAGCCCCGGCUAACUACGUGCCAGCAGCGGC
This 489-nucleotide ribosomal RNA is filed under the name uncultured bacterium. RNAcentral describes it as "bacterial SSU rRNA". It matches the Rfam family "Bacterial small subunit ribosomal RNA", at positions 34 to 518 of the family's 1533-position model. The record is from RNAcentral.